RNAcentral lists this ribosomal RNA (120 nucleotides) under uncultured bacterium. RNAcentral describes it as "partial 16S ribosomal RNA". It matches the Rfam family "Bacterial small subunit ribosomal RNA", at positions 30 to 152 of the family's 1533-position model. The record is from RNAcentral.
AUUGAACGCUGGCGGCAGGCCUAACACAUGCAAGUCGAGCGCGAAAGCCUUCGGGUGAGUAGAGCGGCGGACGGGUGAGUAACGCGUGGGAAUCUACCUGGUAGAGGGGGACAACUCGGG